This 253-nucleotide ribosomal RNA is filed under the name uncultured bacterium. RNAcentral's name for it is "partial 16S ribosomal RNA". It matches the Rfam family "Bacterial small subunit ribosomal RNA", at positions 524 to 776 of the family's 1533-position model. The record is from RNAcentral.
UACGUAGGGUGCGAGCGUUAAUCGGAAUUACUGGGCGUAAAGCGUGCGCGGGCGGUUGUGCAAGACAGAUGUGAAAUCCCCGGGCUCAACCUGGGAACUGCAUUUGUGACUGCACGGCUGGAGUGCGGCAGAGGGGGAUGGAAUUCCGCGUGUAGCAGUGAAAUGCGUAGAUAUGCGGAGGAACACCGAUGGCGAAGGCAAUCCCCUGGGCCUGCACUGACGCUCAUGCACGAAAGCGUGGGGAGCAAACAGG